UUGGGCAGGUUUCGAACUAUGGUAUGGACCAUAGUUGUGCAAGUAGUUGUAGAGCUUUCUCCUUUCUGACCACAAAGCAUUUCCGGUCCUGGAGCGAAAUUAGAAAAGCAGCAGCGAUGGCAGACUGGUCAGAACUCCCAAAGGAACUCCUCCGCCUAAUCUCGGAACUCAUAGACAGCCCCUUUUACCUUCUCCGAUUCCGAUCUGUCUGCUCCUCAUGGCGCUCUUCCUCUUCCCCACUCCCCACCCACCUACCCCUCAAGUUCCCCACCUUCCCCUCCGCUACCGCCGCCACCCCUUCCAUCUUUUCUCUCUCCAAACGCACCCUCUUCCUCAUCAACCCACCUCACCAAACCCCACACCGUUCCUGGCUCAUCAAAAUCGGCCAAGACACCCAUGGUCACACCCUCCUCUUCCACCCUCUCUCCCGUUUCCCAAUCAAAUCCAAUUCCAAUUCUAACUUAAUAUUAAACCUAAUCGACCUCCCUGUCUUUGACAUCGAACACGAGUUCAUCCUCGCUGACACGUGUCCCACCUCCCUCAACGCUCUCUACAUGGAGAAAGUCGUUUUCUCCUGGCUGGGUUCCCGAAAAGACGGUUUUGCCCUCCUCACGAUCCACAUAUCCGGAAGGCUCGCCCUCUUCCGGUCCGGGCACCCUGACUGGACUAUAAUCCCCGACAUGCUGACGCCGUACGACGACGUCUGCGUCCACAAGGGCAGCCUAUUCGCCGUUGACAGCACCGGCCGGACCGUGAUCGUUGGCCUUGACUUGAGUCUCACGCCGGUCGCUGACCCGGUCUUUGGCGGUGACAAGAAGUUCCUGGUUGCGUGCGAGGGUGGAUUGUUCUUGGUGGACAAGUACUUGUCCUCUGAUUACCUUUGUGAAUUGGGGGGUUUUGAUGAUGAUGAUGAGGAUGAGAUCUAUGAGCUUGGUUGUGAGAGGGCUGUGAGGUUUGAAGUUUAUAGGUUGGAGGAAAUGGAGAGGAGGUGGGUCGAGGUGGGGAGUUUGGGAGAUAGAGUUCUGUUCUUAGGGGAUGAUUGCGCAUUCUCGGCUUCCGCGUCGGAUUUGGGUAUUGAUGGAGGGGAUUGUGUGGUGUUUAGGGAUGAUACUUUCAACGUGAAUGCUCUGGAGAGCGGGUUGGGUGUGUUUCACUUGGAUAAAGGGAGGAUUUCGCCUUUGUCUGAUUACCCUAGCAUUUCCAAGUUGUUCUGGCCUCCUCCGGAUUGGGUUGGGUUGCAUGGAUUGCACUGAUGAAGAAUUAUGGAUCUUCAGCACCUGCUUUUCUGUGAUUUUAUUGAUGGUGCUACAUUUCCUGUUAUUAGUGCAGUUGUGGGGAUUGGGCUGCACCGAUUCCACAAGGUUGAAGGCUUUGGGAAGUAAGAAAGGGAGCCUUGGAGCAAUGAUUGAGUUGUCUUCGUGUGACUUCAAGGUCAUGGGUUCAAGCCGUGGAAACAGUCACUGAUGUAAUUAUCAGGAUCACUUAAAAUUACUGACGUCCCUAGUGACCUUACACCAACAAAGCUGCUUGCGACAAGGCUGCAGUGGAAGUUGAAUAAAGGCUAGCAUACUUGUUAGUGAUCAGGAAGGCCAAUUUAUCUCACAACAGUCACAUGUCUGGCUACAUGCAUUUUGUUGAGAUUGAUAAGGCUGCUAUUUCAUGUUUUUUGCUGGUAAGCUCAUGAAUUCGGUGUGGAUUGUACAUAAGCUAGAUUUAUAAGCCCAAACUUCUAUCACUGCAAAUCAUGGAGGCAAGGCAUAGUAGCCAUUUUCUAUCUCUGCAAAUAAUUUUCUUGAUAUGUCGGAGCUUGUCAUUUUGAUCACUACUAGGUGAUCAAAAUAUUUGAACGUAGAACUAUUGCUCUUAGUUCCCGUGCCUCUUCUGGCCUGAAUUAAUUCCUUUCUUUUAGAUGUCGAAGGAGUUGCAGAAUGCUGAAUCUUGAAUAUUUCUGUAAUCUAGAACUAUAUGACUAAAUCUGUUAUUCCUUUGGGUGUUUUAUGUAACACAAUUGUGAAUAUCAAUGAUGGAGUUAUCCUA
RNA transcript from Arachis stenosperma, 2037 nucleotides. It is a transcript of the gene named F-box protein SKIP23-like, with no coding region annotated. The transcript has 4 exons. Lineage: Eukaryota; Viridiplantae; Streptophyta; Magnoliopsida; Fabales; Fabaceae. The record is from RefSeq and is a predicted model, not a curated record.